CAUCAGAAGUCUAAGCAUAUAAAGCGAUGGUUUUACAUCAUACAUGAAUACCUCGAGAAAAAAUUCAUUGAGAUACAGAGAGUCGACUCCGUACAUAACAUGGCAGAUCUGUUGACUAAGCCUCUCAGCUAGCAGAAGACUGAAGCUCACCUUGAGAAGAUGGGCCUUAGGUAUAUGGCCAAUUGACUUUAGGUCAAAUGAGA
This 203-nucleotide long non-coding RNA is filed under the name Elaeis guineensis (African oil palm). Its description in RNAcentral is "long non-coding RNA (EGUI_LNC042385)". Lineage: Eukaryota; Viridiplantae; Streptophyta; Magnoliopsida; Arecales; Arecaceae. The record is from RNAcentral.